This 497-nucleotide ribosomal RNA is filed under the name uncultured bacterium. Its description in RNAcentral is "partial 16S ribosomal RNA". It matches the Rfam family "Bacterial small subunit ribosomal RNA", at positions 28 to 507 of the family's 1533-position model. The record is from RNAcentral.
GAUGAACGCUGGCGGCGUGCCUAAUACAUGCAAGUCGAGCGAACAGACGAGGAGCUUGCUCCUCUGACGAUAGCGGCGGACGGGUGUGUAACACGUGGAUAACCUACCUAUAAGACUGGGAUAACUUCGGGAAACCGGCGCAAAUACCGGAUAAUAUAUUGAACCGCAUGGUUCAAUAGUGAAAGACGGUUUUGGUGUCACUUAUAGAUGGAUCCGCGCCGCAUUAGCUAGUUGGUAAGGUAACGGCUUACCAAGGGAACGAUGCGUAGCCGAGCUGAGAGGGUGAUCGGCCACACUGGAACUGAGACACGCUCCAGGCUCCUACGGGAGGCAGCAGUAGGGAAUCUUCCGCAAUGGGCGAAAGCCUGACGGAGCAACGCCGCGUGAGUGAUGAAGGUCUUCGGAUCGUAAAACUCUGUUAUUAGUGAAAAACAAAUGUGUAAGUAGCUAUGCACGUCUUGACGGUACCUAAUCAGAAAGCCACGGCUAACUACGUG